UAAAGCCGCCGCCUGCAGUGCUGGCAUCCCACAGGGCUCUAGCUGCUCCGCUUCUGAUCCAGCUCUCUACUAUGGCCUGGGAAAGCAGUGGAGAAUGGCCCAAGGGCUUGGGCCCUUGUACCUGUGUGGGAGACCAGGAAGAACCUCCUCCCUCCUGGCUUUGGAUCGGCCCAGCUCCAGCCACUAUGGCCAUUUGGGAAGUGAACCAGAGGAUAGAAGACUUCUCUCUCAAUAGGCUAAUCCUCCACCUUGCGGCGCCGGCACACCGGGUUCUAGUCCCGGUCGGGGCGCCGGAUUCUGUCCCGGUUGCCCCUCUUCCAGGCCAGCUCUCUGCUAUGGCCAGGGAGUGCAGUGGAGGAUGGCCCAGGUGCUUGGGCCCUGCACCCCAUGGGAGACCAGGAAAAGCACCUGGAUCCUGGCUCCUGCCAUCGGAUCAGCGCGGUGCGCCGGCUGCAGCGGCGGCCAUUGGAGGGUGAACCAACGGCAAAGGAAGACCUUUCUCUCUCUGUCUCUCUCUCUCACUGUCCACUCUGCCUGUCAAAAUUUAAAAAAAAAAAAAAAAAAGAA
Molecule: non-coding RNA, 567 nt
Organism: Oryctolagus cuniculus (rabbit)
Lineage: Eukaryota; Metazoa; Chordata; Mammalia; Lagomorpha; Leporidae
Source: RefSeq, a predicted model, not a curated record